Molecule: long non-coding RNA, 2168 nt
Organism: Equus caballus (horse)
Lineage: Eukaryota; Metazoa; Chordata; Mammalia; Perissodactyla; Equidae
Source: Ensembl
GGCUGACAGUGGACAAUGAUGGAUGUUGAAAGCUGUCCUCCUCAAGUCUUCAGGUCGUGAAGCUAAGGCCCAAAGAUCACUGGCUGCCAUGUCAUGGAUACACCCAGGAAGUUUCUGGUGAAACCCACAUAUGCGGAUGCGAGACACACAAAUAACCAUGAAGGAGUCUGAAUUCAUGAGGUGAGCUGAUGGCAGAGAAAGUCCUUUCUUUUCUUAAAUGCAGGGUUCUUCCUGCCCCAGCCCCUGACCUCAGUGAGAUUGCCCAUCCCUCACUCCCACAGCCUGGAACCCCAUUGCAGCACCAAUUCUCUACAACUGGCAGGCAUGUUGGUCCCACACUGUUAGAGCUGAUUGGGCUAUUUCUGCAUUAUAUCAGGAGCCUCUACAAUCAGAGCUGGUGUGAACACACAAUGGAGAUGCCCUUGGGCAUUCACAGUGGCUGCCAGAGAACAUCGUGAGCUUCCCACAAAGGACUGAAGAUUAUGAGAAAGAUAACAAACAGAUAUGAUGGUGGUACGAAGCAAAGAAUUAAAGAUUCCAGACAGCAGUACCAGGAGGCCAGCAAAGUCCUUGGCAGCAGCCUCUUCCAAUAAAUCAGCAUGUCAGAAGAAACAAUGACCCUUCCCAUGGUACAGGAACAAAACCACAAACUCUCCAAGGUGGACCUGGAACAGAAGUCUCCAAGACAACCUCAAUACAUCUCAUUCCUUUCCCAUUCAUCGAGGGCAAGUACAAGAGGUGAUGGAAUUUCUUCAACUUUAUCAAGAGGCUCACCAAUCCAGAACGACCCUCGGAAACCCAGAUAAAAGAGUGAAUUAAUUGCCCAUUGUAAAUAUCAGUAUCCUUUGGCCAACCCACCAACUGUUAUUCUCUGAUGUGAGUAGUACGAAGAAUUUUUAUUUGGACUGGAAUCCAGGAAGCAAAUAAAAAACACAACAGAUCAUUCCAACUUCCUGACAACAAUCAGGGUGGGAUGGUUUGCUACUGGAAAUCCAAGGGAAACCAGAUCAACUGUGAGAUGUUUUCGAUUUCAUAGAUUUCAGAGAUAAAAGGCAACUUAUACAUCAUCCUGUCCAACCUCCUUGUUUUACACAGGAGAAAAUGUGAACUCAAGAGGCAAAACAACUUGUCCAAUGGCAUGCAACUAGUUAUAUGGCGGAAUUGGAUCUAGUUGCUGGUCUUCUUAUUCUUUUUUCAUUGCUUUUUCCAUAACACAACAUGGCCUCUCUAAUUAUUAACUAUGACCUGGCAUUCCACCACCCAUCACAUAUUUAUUGAGUGCUUACUAUUCACUUACCUAUGUUUUCAGGACCAGCUCAAGGGAAAACGAAUUAAGUCAACAAUAAAGAGCCAUUUAUUAAUGCACACUAUGUCAUUUAAUCCUCACCAUAGCACAUUGAGACUGAGGUAAUUAUGUCUGUGACAAAUGAGGAAAACAAAAUUUGCUUAUGGUAGCUAAUGGAUAGCAAAGCUGUGAUUCAAACUGAAGCUGUCUGACUCUGUAUUCUAAGUUUAUCAUCUUAUACCACGUUGCCUUUCUCAAUCCAGAUCUUUCCAUCUUCAACUUUUCUCCCCCCUUACACACUUAUUUCCACAGGGCCUUUUUCUAAUCCAGUUGUCAAGGAUGGGCCAUCAUUUGGAAAAUUACAAUCUCAAGGAGCUGACAUUCUGGGGCCUACAGACCAAAGACCAUAAACAAGUACAUAUGCAAUAUUUAUCAGUUUGGGAUAAAGGCUAAGAAAGAAAACUAAGCAGUGAAAAGGAGAACCAGACUGAGCAAAGGGAGUGCUAUUUUAGAUGGGGUAGUCAGGGAAGUUUCCUCGGGGGAGGGAACAUUUGAGUAGACGUUGAGUAUGGCAAAGUCCUGGAUGGAGAGGGGAAUGUGGGCAAAGGACUCGGUGGUCACAAAGGGAGAUUUGGGGAGGAGUCAGGAUAGUGUGGUGGUUAAGAGCACUGCUCUAAUGUCAGCGCUCCUGGGAUUAGAUAAUCUCCUGGAUCCUUUGAUUGGACAUAGCAAUCAUGAGCAAACAUGAACAAGUUUUCUUAUAUUCUCUGGACCUCAAUUCCCCCUUCUCUGAAAUGGUUCUAAUGACAGUACUCACUUCUUGGGUCAUGUGAGGAUUAACUGAAAGCAAUGUCUGGUUCACAAUAAACAAUAAAUAUCAGCU